This 494-nucleotide ribosomal RNA is filed under the name uncultured bacterium. RNAcentral describes it as "partial 16S ribosomal RNA". It matches the Rfam family "Bacterial small subunit ribosomal RNA", at positions 28 to 507 of the family's 1533-position model. The record is from RNAcentral.
GACGAACGCUGGCGGCGUGCUUAACACAUGCAAGUCGAACGGUGAAGCGCCUUCCUUUUUGGUGGGUGUGGAUGAGUGGCGAACGGGUGAGUAACACGUGAGUAACCUGCCCCCUUCUUCUGGAUAACCGCAUGAAAGUGUGGCUAAUACGGGAUAUUCUGGGUCUGUCGCAUGAUGGGUCUGGGAAGGAUAUUGUUUCGGUGGGGGAUGGGCUCGCGGCCUAUCAGCUUGUUGGUGGGGUGAUGGCCUACCAAGGCGGUGACGGGUAGCCGGCCUGAGAGGGUGGACGGUCACACUGGGACUGAGACACGGCCCAGACUGCUACGGGAGGCAGCAGUGGGGAAUAUUGCACAAUGGGCGCGAGCCUGAUGCAGCGACGCCGCGUGAGGGAUGGAGGCCUUCGGGUUGUGAACCUCUUUCGCCAGUGAAGCAGGCCUGCCUCGUUUGUGGGUGGGUUGACGGUAGCUGGAGAAGAAGCGCCGGCUAACUACGUG